AGCAGCCGCGGUAAUUCCAGCUCCAAUAGCGUAUAUUAAAGUUGUUGCAGUUAAAAGCUCGUAGUUGAAUUUCGGGGUUAGUAGGUUGGUCAUGCCUCUGGUAUGUACUGGUCUCACUGAUUCCUCCUUCCUGAUGAACCUUAAUGCCAUUAAUUUUGGUGCUUUGGGGGAAUUUGGACUGUUACUUUGAAAAAAGUUAGAGUGUUUAAAGCAAGCUAACGCUUGAAUACAUUAGCAUGGAAUAAUGAAAUAGGACGUUCGAUCCUAUUUUGUUGGUUUCUAGGAUUGACGUAAUGAUUAAUAGGGAUAGUUGGGGGCAUUAGUAUUCAAUUGUCAGAGGUGAAAUUCUUGGAUUUAUUGAAGACUAACUACUGCGAAAGCAUUUUGCCAAGGAUGUUUUCAUUAAUCAAGAACGAAAGUUAGGGGAUCGAAGACGAUCAGAUACCGUCGUAGUCUUAACCAUAAACUAUGCCGACUAGGGAUCGGAUGAUGUUAAUUUUUUCAAUGACUCAUUCGGCGC
RNAcentral lists this ribosomal RNA (520 nucleotides) under uncultured Glomus. RNAcentral describes it as "SSU rRNA". It matches the Rfam family "Eukaryotic small subunit ribosomal RNA", at positions 569 to 1086 of the family's 1831-position model. Lineage: Eukaryota; Fungi; Glomeromycota; Glomeromycetes; Glomerales; Glomeraceae. The record is from RNAcentral.